RNAcentral lists this ribosomal RNA (395 nucleotides) under uncultured bacterium. RNAcentral describes it as "partial 16S ribosomal RNA". It matches the Rfam family "Bacterial small subunit ribosomal RNA", at positions 523 to 917 of the family's 1533-position model. The record is from RNAcentral.
AUACAGAGGGUGCGAGCGUUAAUCGGAUUUACUGGGCGUAAAGCGCGCGUAGGUGGUUAAUUAAGUCAAAUGUGAAAUCCCCGAGCUUAACUGGGGAAUUGCAUUCGAUACUGGUUAGCUAGAGUAUGGGAGAGGAUGGUAGAAUUCCAGGUGUAGCGGUGAAAUGCGUAGAGAUCUGGAGGAAUACCGAUGGCGAAGGCAGCCAUCUGGCCUAAUACUGACACUGAGGUGCGAAAGCAUGGGGAGCAAACAGGAUUAGAUACCCUGGUAGUCCAUGCCGUAAACGAUGUCUACUAGCCGUUGGGGGAUUUGAUCCUUUAGUGGCGCAGCUAACGCGAUAAGUAGACCGCCUGGGGAGUACGGUCGCAAGACUAAAACUCAAAUGAAUUGGCGGG